Molecule: ribosomal RNA, 207 nt
Filed under: uncultured bacterium
Lineage: Bacteria
Description: partial 16S ribosomal RNA
Rfam family: Bacterial small subunit ribosomal RNA
Source: RNAcentral
CGCGUAGGCGGUCUCUUAAGUCAGAUGUGAAAGCCCGGGGCUUAACCCUGGAAGUGCAUUUGAAACUAAGGGACUUGAGUAUGGGAGAGGGAAGUGGAAUUCCUGGUGUAGAGGUGAAAUUCGUAGAUAUCAGGAGGAACACCGGUGGCGAAGGCGACUUCCUGGACCAAUACUGACGCUGAGGCGCGAAGGCGUGGGGAGCAAACA